Molecule: transfer RNA, 85 nt
Filed under: Thalassiosira punctigera
Lineage: Eukaryota; Bacillariophyta; Thalassiosirophyceae; Thalassiosirales; Thalassiosiraceae
Description: Selenocysteine transfer RNA
Source: RNAcentral
CAUGAUCUUGCCUGGUGGCAGGCACAGGCUUCCAAACCUGUGGGGAAUCCUCGGCGACCCAGUGUAGUGGUUCGACUCCACCUUG